This 444-nucleotide ribosomal RNA is filed under the name uncultured bacterium. RNAcentral's name for it is "SSU rRNA". It matches the Rfam family "Bacterial small subunit ribosomal RNA", at positions 26 to 518 of the family's 1533-position model. The record is from RNAcentral.
AGAGCGAACGCUGGCGGCAGGCCUAACACAUGCAAGUCGAGCGCCCCGCAAGGGGAGCGGCAGACGGGAGAGUAACACGUGGGAACGUACCCUUUGGUUCGGAACAACACAGGGAAACUUGUGCUAAUACCGGAUAAGCCCUUACGGGGAAAGAUUUAUUGCCAAAGGAUCGGCCCGCGUCUGAUUAGCUUGUUGGUGAGGUAACGGCUCACCAAGGCUACGAUCAGUAGCUGGUCUGAGAGGAUGAUCAGCCUCACUGGGACUGAGACACGGCCCAGACUCCUACGGGAGGCAGCAGUGGGGAAUAUUGGACAAUGGGCGAAAGCCUGAUCCAGCAAUGCCGCGUGUGUGAAGAAGGUCUUCGGAUUGUAAAGCACUUUCGACGGGGACGAUGAUGACGGUACCCGUAGAAGAAGCCCCGGCUAACUUCGUGCCAGCAGCCGC